Molecule: ribosomal RNA, 496 nt
Filed under: uncultured bacterium
Lineage: Bacteria
Description: partial 16S ribosomal RNA
Rfam family: Bacterial small subunit ribosomal RNA
Source: RNAcentral
GAUGAACGCUGGCGGCGUGCCUAAUACAUGCAAGUCGAGCGAACAGACGAGGAUCUUGCUCCUCUGACGUUAGCGACGGACGGGUGAGUAACACGUAGAUAACCUACCUAUAAGACUGGGAUAACUUCGGCAAACCGGAGCUAAUACCGGAUAAUAUAUUUAACCGCAUGGUUCAGUAGUGAUAGACGGUUUUGCUGUCACUUAUAGAUGGAUCCGCGCCGCAUUAGCUAGUUGGUAAGGUAACGGCUUACCAAGGGAACGAUGCGUAGCCGAGCUGAGAGGGUGAGCGGGCCCGCGGGAGUUAAGAGCCGGUCCAGGACUGUACGGGAGGCAGGACUACGGCAGCAGCCGGAAGGGGCGAAUGCUUGACGGAGCGACGACGCGUGAGUCAUGAAGGUCUUGGGCUCGUAAACCGCUUUUAUGAUGUAAGAAGAAAUGUGUAAGUACCUAUGCUCGUCUUACGGGUACCGAAUCAGAAAGCCACGCUUACUUCCGU